GAUGAACGCUGGCGGCGUGCCUAAUACAUGCAAGUCGAGCGAACAGGCCAGGAGCUUGCUCCUCCGACUUUAUCGGCGGACGGGUGAUUAACACGGGGUUAACCUACCUAUAAGACUGGGAUAACAUUGGGAAACCGGAGCUAAUACCGGAUAAUAUAUCGAACCGCAUUGUUCAAUAGUUGAAGUCGGUUUUUCGUUCACUUAAAGAUUGAUCCGCGCCGCAUUAAUUAGUUGGUAAGGUAACGGCUUACCAAGGCAACGAUUCUUAGCCGACCCGAGAGGGUCAUCGCCCAGACUGGAAGUGAGACAGAGUCCCGACUCCUAGAGUAGGCAACAGUAGGGACUCUUCCGCAAUGCACGAAAGCCUGACGGAGCAACGCCGCGUGAGUCAUGAUGGUCUUCGGAUCGGAGAACUCUGUUAUUAGGAAAGAUCUAAUGUGUAAGUAACUAUGCAGGUAUUGACGGUACCUAAUCAGAAAGCCACGGCUAACUACGUG
Molecule: ribosomal RNA, 497 nt
Filed under: uncultured bacterium
Lineage: Bacteria
Description: partial 16S ribosomal RNA
Rfam family: Bacterial small subunit ribosomal RNA
Source: RNAcentral